This 301-nucleotide ribosomal RNA is filed under the name uncultured bacterium. Its description in RNAcentral is "partial 16S ribosomal RNA". It matches the Rfam family "Bacterial small subunit ribosomal RNA", at positions 509 to 809 of the family's 1533-position model. The record is from RNAcentral.
CAGUCGCCGCGGUAAUACGGAGGAUCCAAGCGUUAUCCGGAUUUAUUGGGUUUAAAGGGUGCGUAGGUGGCCUGUUAAGUCAGGGGUGAAAGACGGUAGCUUAACUAUCGCAGUGCCCUUGAUACUGAUGGGCUUGAAUGAACUAGAGGUAGGCGGAAUGUGACAAGUAGCGGUGAAAUGCAUAGAUAUGUCACAGAACACCGAUUGCGAAGGCAGCUUACUAUGGUUUUAUUGACACUGAGGCACGAAAGCGUGGGGAUCAAACAGGAUUAGAUACCCCUGUAGUCCCUGUCUCUUAUAA